UGGCAUUGUGGGAUAGAAGCUCAGUAUCAGCUGGUUCUGUGACUGUCUCUCUCUAUCAGCUACAGUGCCUG
Molecule: microRNA precursor, 71 nt
Organism: Amphilophus citrinellus (Midas cichlid)
Lineage: Eukaryota; Metazoa; Chordata; Actinopteri; Cichliformes; Cichlidae
Source: Ensembl